Cydia fagiglandana is the source of this 4560-nucleotide long non-coding RNA. RefSeq lists it as uncharacterized. Lineage: Eukaryota; Metazoa; Arthropoda; Insecta; Lepidoptera; Tortricidae. The transcript has 2 exons. The record is from RefSeq and is a predicted model, not a curated record.
UCUAACACCUCGAACGGUUCGCGGUAGGCCCUCAGGUGUAGUAAAAGUGAUAUUUGAUAUGAAUGGAAAUGUCAUCAAUGUCAAUUUUAGUUGAAAUCACGUUCGUUUCCCAUAGAAACCUGUUGGAAGCGAAAAUAAUGAGACCUCAGAGCUUACACCACGAAAUUGAGUGAAGCUUGAAAGUCAAUACAUCUUCAUUAUCGUCUACCAUAGACUAGGAAUCCUCUAGACCGAGUUUAGAGCAAUUAUUUCAUGCAACCGAUGAUGCCAAAAAUGCGGGGGUGCGCGGGACGAGGUGAGCGAAGUCCCGUGCCGUGAUUGGUCCGUUCAAAGACACGGACGUCACACAAAGACACUUUCGACUCGAACAUGGAUUAAAUUUCCGUUUGCGUGGCAGAAGGGGUAGCGCGGCUAUGCUCGGUCUAGAGGAUUCCUAGUCUAUGUCGUUUACACAUGUGAUGAUAUACUUAAUGUAAAAGUUACAUUUAAUUCUAACUUAAUGCCUUUUAAUGUGAGCAAAUAUAGUCUGGCAAACCGUUUUGUCAAUAGAAAAAGGCGCGAAUUUCAAAUUUAGUAUGCAAGACCGACCCUUCGCGCCUACAUUCUCCAAUUUGCCGCCUUUUUCUACUGGCGGAAAUUACCAAACUUACCAAACUAUAUAAUAUUUGUUGCUGAAAUGAAACAUUUGAAAAUGGAAAAUAUUUAUUAAAAAUGGAGUAUUGUAUGAUAAAAGUCGUCCGUCGUUAUACUUGGUAUUUUUAGACUCAAGCAUGAAGAAAGAUGAAGGAUGGCUCACACUAGAACGGUCUGGGUCCGGGCCCUGGCGUUCGACACUUCGUUUUCUAUGACGGGUGAUACCGAUCACGUGAUGCUUCUAUAGAAUCUAAAGUGUUGAUGUUUACCAGUUGCUUUUCGAUGAAAAAAACAUCGUGAGGAAACCGAACUAAUCCCAAUAAUACCUAGUUUCCCCUCUGGGUUGGAAGGUCAGAUGGCAGUCGCUUUCGUAAAAACUUGUACCUAAGUCAAUUCUUGGGAUUAGUUGUCUCCCCAGGCUUAUGAGCCAGAUCAAAAUGCCAGGAUAACGCGAAAAAGAAGAAUAAUUAGCAGUAUCAGUUCGCGAUUUCAGUGUGUAACACGAAGUCACAGAAUAUAUAAUAGUACUAGGUACAGAAGACUUACUCUCUAACAAAACGCGUCUGUUACGAUCAGGACAGAUAUGGCCGCUAGGUGGCGACAGCGCCACGCGCGGCUUAUGGCUUAUUCAAAAUUGGGGUGGAAUGGAUGUACUUUUAGCUACCUGUAGCAAAGCGUAAAAUCGCGGAGUGAGCCACGCCUGACGAAGUGCUUAUUUUAUCCAUGUUCUAGGAUAGAUAACGCUAAAUAAAUUAUGUAAAUAAUGCUAUUGUCUGAAUGCCGAGGUUCAAAGGGCUAUCUGACAAUAAAGAGUCAACAGCAGAAGUUGCUAAGCGGGCCAGGUGUUCAAUAUGAUCUUGCCGUGACUUUAUUGUUAAGAGAAUAAGAACGUGUCUAGGUAAUUUUGAACACGCUCGCUUAGCAACUUCUGCUGCUGAUUGUACGAGUAUAUGCCAGUGAAUGUUAGUAGAUAGAUAUUUAUAACCAAUCUGGCUGAGAUGUAGGAUCAGUAUCGCCGUUAUACGCGCCACCAGCAUGUGUAUCCGAGGCACACGCCACCGUUUUAAGUCGACCGCCAGGUGGCUUGGGUUCGACGACGGUGCUGCCCUUCCACACAUCGAUUGAAACCACUUUUCUACCCUACCCACAUAUGUAUUACCUAACCCUUUGCCUAUGUACUUAUGAUUGUUUUAAUGUAAUAAAUUUUUGUUGAUCUGUUGGAAACAUGGUGCGUGUUUUAAUGAAUUUAAAAGUAUGUUACUUAUAAUUUUAAACGAAGCGCGGAGCAUAUGUGACUCGGAUAUAUGAACAAUAUAUUCGCUGGAUGCAGAACUGUGGCGCCGCUCUAGUGGGUGAGGUGAGGGACAUAUUGUUAUAUGACAUGUGACAGUUAGCUGCCAAAUAGUAUGAUGAUGACGUCCCACGAAAGUUCAUAUUUUCACCACGUCGUGCGUUAGCGUCGUCGCUUGUAUUCCCCCCACCACCAUCUUUGCAUAAAUUCUCUAAUGUCAUUAAUAUACCAAUUCUGACAGUAAAUCGUUAAUUAUGUUAGAAUAAAAUAUCUCAUAGACAUUAAGUAUGUUAAUGCUUGGCCAGAGAUAAUAUAUAUUUUUCUGUAGUAUAUACCAUCUCAUAGUUAUAUCACAUUUAUCUUAUAAAACAGUUUUUAACUAUUUACUAUUCGUAUCUGAAAAUGCCUAAUGUCAGUGUAUCACUGAGUCGUUCUAAAAAAAAACCCGAGCCUACAACUUUUCGCUCUGCUCAUUAUUUCCAUUCAAUUACGAUAUAAUAUGUUGUUGACAAGUCCGUCUCUAGGAUUAGAAAGCUGUAAUUCGAUAUGUUUAACUUUGUAAAAUUAAAUAUUGAAAAAAAAUGUCCCAUAAUGAGGUUUUUUCGAACGACCCAUUUGCUAAUAUUUUAUGCAGUAUUUGCCGACAUUUAACGUACGGAUGCGUUUAGGCUUCAUAAUACAUAAAUCCAACAUUUUUCUGGUCAAGUUAGUUAAAAUUGUAGAUAGAAACAUCAAUUAUCAUAAUCAAUGUAUUUUUGUAAUAAAAAGUAAAUAGAUCUCUCGUUACGUCCAAAUUCAAGUCUCCUAUGUUGUGUAGAAAGAACUUAUUUUAUGUAAAAAGUAAUUAAAUUUGAAAAUCUACCCCCAAUAAUGUUAACUUAUCAUGCGCGCUUCACAGUAUUUGAGAAGAAAACAUCUUGUAACAUUUUAAUAUCGAAAUGAAUUCUUAUAUUUCACUUCUUUUUUGUCCAAAAAAAACUUUCAUGUUUUUAAUUUUGGAUUGCGUUGCUUGUAAAUCAUAAAUACAAUGAUGAUGCUACAUCAUGCAUAAAUAAGAUAAUAUAGGUAUGAAUUUCGAUGAAAACAUUGAUAUGUAUUCCUAUAUACCUAGUGACAUCCACGGAGAUAAGUAGACAUUACAUACAGGUGUUUUUUCAACUGUAGGUAUUCUGCAAGUUGAAGAACUUUCACUAUGGAAUUAGCCCCUAAAUCGUCCUAAAAAGUAUGAAACAGUCAAUUUUUCUCGGAAUAUUCGGGGUUGCUCACAUUGUAAAAGUUAUGCCAUCGCCUAAAAACAAAAUAUAUAUCCUGUAAGUACUUAUACAAAAUCUAUAAUAGGAUUGGAAGAGGCAUAUUUACCAUGAAUCUGUACUCGUAUUUUGUAGAUAUCCGUCUAUUAGUCAUUCUCAUGUUGAAAUGCACCGUAAGUCCUUGUUAUUAGAGUCGUUAAUAGAACAAACUGUCCGGUCUUGGUUUAUACAUUAUUUUAUGGAAUUUAAAAGGAGAGUUUUGUAUAUCAAUUGACGCUUGAGUCGCUUCAGUUUAUACCAAAAUCAGAUUGCUUAUUAACUUUGUUUUCAGUAUGUAGGGUACAUCGCCAAUUACUAGCCACCCCCCAAUUACUGGCCACUUAAUUUGAUUUCUAUUUAUAGGUGAACAAAGUUCAUUUUAGUAUAUAAGGUACGAAAAUCCAAUUAUUAGCCAUUUUUCAAUUACUGGCCACCUAUUCCAAAAAUGAAUUCUAUUUACAGAUAAAUAAAACUCAUUUUCAGUAUAAGGAAAAUGGCCAGUAACUGAAAUUUAUCCACAACCCACUCGUUCAAUAACUGGCCGCCUCUUACAAAAAUGAGUUCUAUUCACCUAUACACAGAAUUCAUUUUAGUAUAGGUGGCCAGUAAUUGGGGGGUGGCUAGUAAUUGGCGAUGUACCCUAUUUUGUAGUACAUGUUAUUUUAUAAUUAAAUUGAGGUUGGAAAAUAGAUCAUACCUAAAGUUUAAGAAUUUAAUUUAGGAACGAAUUUUAUAAAUUGCUUUAUACGAAACAAAAAAUGAUAAUGGUUCCUUUCAACCUCAGAUUGAAGACUGGAAUAAAUUGAAACACAUGUUGUAUGGUUUUGGCAUUAGGUAUAUUAAAAAAGUAUGUGGGAAAUAAAUAACAAUCAUAUUCUACUCAAACCUUAAAUCGUAAUCUUAUUGAAUUCAAUUUACUCCAGAUAUGUAAAAGUUCGAAUAACUCUCCAGUGCAUGUCUUAUAUAAUGACUAUCUUAUUGUUACUAAAAUGUUUAAGUAUACGUGAUAUAAACGUGUCAAAACUACACGUCACAUGUGUGUACAUGUGAAUUUGUAGUCCACUCUUUGGAUAAUUUGAAUAUGUAAUUUUAAACUUUUGACCGCCACAACUAUUUUAUAUAACACGCGAUUGUAACCUUUAUUAGAAUGUACUAAGGUUCAUAUUGUAUUGUAAUCUUUGUCGGCUAUGGCCGACUUGGCGCUCAAAUGGUUAACAAAAGUAUGGCCGUCUUCAAAUUUAUGUUGUGAUUUUAUUUAAGACUUGCAAUAAAUUGUUGUAAAUAGUAUUUUUAUGUUCUAAAAUGAUUAUUGUAGUUAAACUGGAUUAUAUUGAAUGUUACAUUUAA